ACGCUCGACACCUACGGGAGCAGCAGUAGGGAAUCUUCCACAAUGGACGCAAGUCUGAUGGAGCAACGCCGCGUGAGUGAAGAAGGUUUUCGGAUCGUAAAGCUCUGUUGUUGGUGAAGAAGGAUAGAGGUAGUAACUGGCCUUUAUUUGACGGUAAUCAACCAGAAAGUCACGGCUAACUACGUGCCAGAAGCCGCGGUAAUCUGAGCGGGCUGGCAAGGC
This 222-nucleotide ribosomal RNA is filed under the name uncultured bacterium. Its description in RNAcentral is "partial 16S ribosomal RNA". It matches the Rfam family "Bacterial small subunit ribosomal RNA", at positions 328 to 539 of the family's 1533-position model. The record is from RNAcentral.